Molecule: long non-coding RNA, 2152 nt
Organism: Ailuropoda melanoleuca (giant panda)
Lineage: Eukaryota; Metazoa; Chordata; Mammalia; Carnivora; Ursidae
Exons: 8
Source: RefSeq, a predicted model, not a curated record
CGCAAGGGGCUGGCGCCUUUAAGGAGCCGCGGCGUUGCGUCAUUUCUCCGCGACGCCCCCGCGCCCUCGGUCCCUCCCUCACGCCGGCGGUCGCCGGAAGCGGCCAAUCAGAAGCCUCGUUCCUUUGCUGGAUCAGCUGGUCGCGGUCCCAGCGCCGCCAGGGGCUUUUGCUGCCGCGGUGGAAGGUGUGCGGGAACCUGGGGCUCUGUGCUUCAGCCGGGGCCUCUGGCGCCAUGAGUGUGAAUCCGAUCUUUGGCUCUUCCACUCAGUAGCCGUGUGGCCAUGGCUAAGGUGCCCAUCCUCAAUUUCUCCAUCUGCAAAAUGAAGGAUUCUGGUCAAUACGCUGCUGGAUGUACAAUGAGCUGGUCUAUCCUGCAGAAUUUGUAUCAUAGAAAGGCAAGGCUCAGGAGCAGCACAGAACCUGGCCACCCCCAGACAACACCACCACCACCUGCAGCUGAGCCUUUCAAGCUGACCUGCUUGCUAAGAAGAACCUUUGAAUGAGAGCUGACGAGUGAACCAAUGAAGGAACUGCUGCCCGGCUGACGCAGGGCCUCUGGGUGUUCCCACUUAGUGCCCCUUGCCCUGCGACCCCUGGGCUACAAUCUGAAAACACGGAGCCCUGGAGCCAGGCCUCUGAGCCAGGGGUCUGCACGACAGCCUGGGGGCUCGACCCAGCCUCCACCUGCUUUUGCAUCAAGGUUUCUUUGGAACACAGCCACGCUCCCUCCUUCAUGUGGGGUCCGUGGCUGCUCCUGCUCUCGAGCUGCAACGGCUUUGCUGAGGAGCUGCAGCAGAGACCACAGAAGAGAUUGGAGUGAUGCAUCUAUAAGCCAAGGAACACCGAGGAUUCCUGGCAGCCACCGGAGGCUGGAAGAGGCAAGCCAGCAUCUUUCCCUGGAGCCUUCAGAGAGAGCAUGGCUCUGAGGACACCCCGAUUUCAGAUUUCCAGCCUCCAGAACUGGGAGAAAAAGUUCCAAGUCCCAAAGGAUCAUCUGAGGAAUCUGGAGGACUUGGAGAUCAAGUUGCCCAAAGAUACCACCAUGUUGAAUUAGCUAAGAAGUGAGACAUCUGGGACAAGACAGCGACCAACUGAACCCUCCUGGGCUCUCAAAAAUCCAAAGGUCUCCCACACCAGAGACACCAAGAGCUGGAAAGCAAACAAAUGAGAGAAAACCUCAUCAUUAGUUUGAUCAGAAGAUCCAGGAUCCAUGUAUUGGUUAGUGCUCCCCCUGCUGGCGAAUGGAGAAGCAGCAAAGCCGCCCUACAGGUGAAACCUCAGGACAGGUCACAGCCUAUGUGCUUCCCCUGCUCCUGUCUGCUGCCUCUGGACCACCCUGGUGCUAUCCACUGUGGGCCAGCAUGACGUGCUCUGCCUCCUAGGACCUAGAAAUGCUCACUGGGGAAAAGCCUCCAGAUCCAAGCAUCUGAAGAUGAAACCGCCCUCCUGCCUGAGCCAGCCCACUCGCUGUUCUCAGGGGCAGCACAGAAGAGAGAGCCAGAGAAACAGCAGAUGAAGAGAACAAGGUGCAAAGCCCGCUAAAGGAAUUUUCUCGUGGAGGGUCCCACUCUGGGUCUGUUUGUCUUACGGCUCUGCAGGUAUUCGAAGGCCCAGAUCGUGGGCUCCUGCGAGGAAAUGAAGACACACUCUGCAUGCCCUCCGGCGUGCACACGCGAAAGUGGAAGCCCAUGUAUGCUUCUCAUGCCAUUUUGAAAUUAACUUAGGAUGCACAUAUUUGCACAAAAGUACUACCCGCCUGGAAUGGGCCACACUUUGCCGAAUAAUUCCAUUGUGUACAUGCCAAUCGUAGCAUCUCCAGGCUCUUUGCCUGAAGUAGUGAGAAUGACUCUCUCCCUGGAAACAGUUCCAUGUAUAAAAGGCACACCUAGAUUUUCACAGAAAAUAUGUCUGGAUUGUAGCUCAUUCCCCACUAUGUACUGUUCUCCAGAUUUUCCAAAAAUAAUUAACAAUACAUAUUACUGACAUAAACAGAAAAAAAGUGUAUGUCUAAAUAUAUAAGAAGAGCCAGUCAUCUAUACAAACGCUCACCUGUUACUUUGGCCCUCACAGGUUCCAGCUGCUCCUUCUUAUUUUUGCCAAAAAUUAUAUCCAUGGCAUGGGGCGCUGGGCGGGAGUGAUGUUAACAGCGAG